UGCUCUAAUUCUCUGAGCAAAAGGCUGAAGAAACCAUAUGACAAGAAUACGUGAAGGCUUCUCCAGUCUGUCCCUUUUAGAUGCCAUUGCUUUGAGCAGGACCCAGGCACACUCCUGCCUGCUCUGCCUCUUUGAAAGGGCAGUAUUAGGAGAGUGAUCUCAUCAGGGCCACACGAACCUGGUCCUUUGGCUAGGGGCCUGGGCCAAACCCCACCCCCUGGCACACCUGGUCAGGCAGGUAUAAAAGAGGGAACCAGCUUCAGCUCCCACAGCAGCUUCUCUCUGGCAUCAUGCAUUCUACUGGCCUCUUCUCCCUUCUCCUGCUCCUGGUUCUUGGGACCCUGAUGUCUGAGGCUACCAAAGCCACAACUCCUAUUAAAGGACUUCCUCCUCAACAAACACUCAUCAAAGGUCUUGUCACAUCGAAGGACUCUUCCACGAGCAAGCCUCAUCCUAUUAAGGGAUCUUCCAACAAAUUCAGUGGUUCAACCAAGUUUCAUUCUUCAAUCAACCUUCCUAUAACCAAAAGCCUAAGUUCUGGGAAGUCAGGUAAAGUUCAUAUGUGAUGCCAUGGAGUGUUGGAGCUCACUGAAGCUCUCUCCUGCCUUCCAGUUUUCUCCUUUGUAUCUCUGAGUGGAAGAAGCUUUCUCCUUCCCAAAGUCCUUUCUUUUAAUCACUAAUAAAGAUGCCAAAUUCCCCUGCA
RNAcentral lists this long non-coding RNA (703 nucleotides) under Monodelphis domestica (gray short-tailed opossum). Its description in RNAcentral is "lncRNA (ENSMODG00000040192.1)". Lineage: Eukaryota; Metazoa; Chordata; Mammalia; Didelphimorphia; Didelphidae. The record is from RNAcentral.